This is a long non-coding RNA of Oncorhynchus masou masou (cherry salmon), 1851 nucleotides long. RefSeq lists it as uncharacterized. The transcript has 3 exons. NCBI's taxonomy places the organism in Eukaryota, Metazoa, Chordata, Actinopteri, Salmoniformes, Salmonidae. The record is from RefSeq and is a predicted model, not a curated record.
UUACCCAUGAUACAUUGUGGUUUUGAUCCUAUCGAACACGGCCAUGGACUAUUAGCUACAUCACAAAAUAACAGACUUUCGGGAGGGAAAUAGUUUGAUGUUUGGAAGAUCGCCUUUACCUUGAAAAGACAGUUAAAUGGCAUCCCUUGCGAGGACAAGAACAAGAUGUAUGUCAGGAGGAAAAGUGCAGUAUUAUCACAAGGAAAUGUAUACUUGGAAUACGGGUGAGGAAUAGAGGGGAAAACAGAGGCAGGUGAGGUCUAAGAGAGGAGAAAAAGGGUGUUCGCGUCGGUUAGCGGGCGGGCGGAAAGAAAAUGGCGGGCGGAAAAAAAGGGAGAUUGGAAGAAAGUGUACGCAGAGUGAGCUGUACGCCGGAUAGAAGACAGGAGACGAAAUGGAAGUGAAUGAGGGCGAAGUAUCGGUGGUAGGUGCGGUAAAGUCAUCGGAGAUCGAUGUAUGCACCGAUAAUCAGGAUGAAGAGUCUGUGACAGUAGGUGUGACGUUUAUGUAGAAAGUGGACUCUUGCCUUUUGGCUGAUUGAUUUGUGGUUUCACGGUGGGUGGGAAAAAAGUGUUGGGUCAUGUGGAAUCGGAGAGGGUAACUAGAAGUGUAAUUGUUUGUGUUUCUGUUGGGCAGAGGAAGAAUGCGCUUGAAGUAAAACGAAUGAGGGUAGGUAAAAGUGAAGCGUUUCGUUCUCAAGAAAAAGGCACAAAUGAAAGGAGAUAUAACUGGGGUAGCAGUAGAUAUAGACGUUGACCAGUUGAAGGCAAAGAUUCCCGGUGUAUGUGAUGCUCGGCGUUUGAUGCGACGCAGACGGGGUGGGGUAACAGACUGUCUGUUCUUUUGAGUUUUGAAGCUGAGUCUUUGCCUGAUAAAGUGAAGAUGGGAUCUAUAAAUGAUCCUGUACGAGCGUAUGUGCCGAAUAUGUUGAUGUUACAGGUGUCAAGCUUAUGGGCAUGUGGCAGGAGGGAGGGUCCAAGGUGUGAGAAAUGUGCAUAAGGGCAUGAGACAAAGGAAUGUGUAGUAUUUGGGGAAUGUGUUAAUUGUAUGGGGUGCCCAUGGAGCUGGGGAUCAGAAAUGUUCCGUGCGAGAGAAGCAGGUUGAGGUUUCUAGAGUUAAGAGUAGAGCAGAAGUUGUCAUAUGCUGAGGCGUUGGAGAAAGUAGAGGAAGAUGGGAGAAGUGGUGAGAGUAGUAAAGAUAUACUAGUACAGAGGGAUAGGCCAAAAAGUGAAAAGUUUCAGUAAGAUUGGAUUUUUAGCAUUAACAGCAAUGGUUAUUAAUUGUACUGCAGGAAUAGAUCAGAAGUCUCAGAAAAUGUAGGUUGUGGUGGCAGCUGUAGAGAGGCAUUUGGUUGUGCAGGACUUGACUGCAGGAGAGUUACAGGAUGUGGUGAUUUCCCAUCCUUUUAGGGUGAUGGCAUGAGGUAGGAAUAAAUACAUUUAAUUAGUGGAGUAUGGGGGUGUUACAUUUUAUUUUAAAUAAUUUUGAAAUUAGUGAAUAGUGUUUAGGACAUUUUUCUACUUUAAGUAUAAGGUCUUGUAGGUCUGGCAGUAAUGGAACAAAUUGGAUGCAACCCUCGUUAACCUCAUAGAAGGAGAUGAAAACCUCCAAUCGUCAACAUGACUGGCUGCGUUUUGCUACAAUCAUUGUUUUAUGGGUCCUUGGAAAACUAAAUAGAGGCAGUGGGAGAACCUAUUAAAAUACAGAGAGCUGUCCAAGCCUGUCUGCAGAUGAAGAGGUCCCAGUGAAUGUCCCAAGAGAGUGGUGAAAUGUCUGGAAGCACGAGAUGGGAUCCUUAGCUUAAAACACACACAACUACUACUACCAAGUCCAAUGCCAGAUACUUUUCUC